CACACCAAUGGAUAUAACACACACCAGUGGUUUACAAUACACACCAAUGGAAUAUAACACACACCAGUGGUUUAUAAUACACACCAAUGGGAUAUAACACACACCAGUAGUUUACAAUACACACCAAUGGGAUAUAACACACACCAGUAGGUUUACAAUACACACCAAUGGAUAUAACACACACCAGUAGGUUUAUAAUACACACCAAUGGGAUAUAACACACACCAGUAGUUUACAAUACACAGCAAUGGGUUAUUGGUGUGUACAUGUAUUGGCACCCCUCUACCCUGUCCAUCAGUGGGAUCUCUGAGCAGAUGUUAUUUGGGUGGUGAUGUGUUUUUUGUGUGCGUGUGUGCGUGUGUGCGUGUGUGUGUGUGUGUGUGU
Long non-coding RNA from Ictalurus punctatus (channel catfish), 384 nucleotides. NCBI's taxonomy places the organism in Eukaryota, Metazoa, Chordata, Actinopteri, Siluriformes, Ictaluridae. The record is from Ensembl.